UGAAGUUGGCACCAGUAUUGCGCGAUGCCACCAGCGAUGGUGGUGCCAUCCGGCGAAAAUCGCUCGUUUUUAAUGCAUACACCCAAUAACUGCAUAUUUUGUUGUUUCAUUUGUAGUAUUUUAACAAAGGAGGUUGGUUAUCUAUAUGUUGGUGGGAUGGUACAACAUUUUGCAACGAUGGAAGUGUCGACACAGAUUACUCAAUUUGACAGAAAAAUAAUCGAGUGCGAAUACGGCGAUAGUCAGUGGAAAUUCAAGUGUGAAAAGAAAGACAAAUUGUUUCCAAACGCGAAACUACUCUAGUGGUGUUCGAAAGUGUCCAGAAUUCAGUGACGAAAGAAGUACUCGAACAUUUCAUUGAAGAUCUAUUUGAAAAAUCGAAUGGUGAGGUUUCUUUGGCAGAACCAAUACAUAAUAUCGAUUCAGAUGAAGAUGUUCCAGUGCAACAAACUGAUUUGAUCGGCGUUGACACACAAUCACCAACGAUUCAUGAUGCCGCCAGCACAUUGAACAAAGACAUGGACAUAUAAACAUAAGAACAGUACGCCACCGCAAAUUAGAAAUGAAAUGUCCCGAGACCAGUGUUUGGUUGAAAUAAUAUUUUAAGAUGAGAUAACCAGAUAAGAUAGAUAAGAUAUUAUCUUUUAUCUUAUCUAGAUGAAAAAUUCAUUUUGCGGAUUUAUCUUAUCUUCAUCUUUUCUUCAUAUUUUUCUAAUUAUCUAUUGUCAUAUUUUAGAUAAGUUUUAAGAUAAACGAAGGCUUAAUAAGUAGAACGGGUGGGUUUUGAAUGAAAAACAUUUGCAUUUUACGGAACAUUUAGACAUUUUUUUUUACAUUUUCGUUCAAUUUUUGAUUGAUAUUUUAUUCUCAAUCGUUUGUCCGACUCAUCAUUCAUCAAAACA
Sitodiplosis mosellana (orange wheat blossom midge) is the source of this 902-nucleotide long non-coding RNA. RefSeq lists it as uncharacterized. The record is from RefSeq and is a predicted model, not a curated record. NCBI's taxonomy places the organism in Eukaryota, Metazoa, Arthropoda, Insecta, Diptera, Cecidomyiidae. The transcript is spliced from 3 exons.